This 1978-nucleotide ribosomal RNA is filed under the name gut metagenome. RNAcentral's name for it is "bacterial LSU rRNA". It matches the Rfam family "Bacterial large subunit ribosomal RNA", at positions 1 to 2007 of the family's 2925-position model. The record is from RNAcentral.
GAAAGUAAAUAAGGGCGUAUGGGGAAUGCCUAGGCUCUUGGAGGCGAAGAAAGACGUGGUAAGCUGCGAUAAGCUUCGGGGAUUUGCAAACAAGACUUGAUCCGAAGAUUUCUGAAUGGGACAACCCGUCAGGUAGAAGACCUGACACAUCGUAAGAUGGGCCAACCCUCUGAACUGAAACAUCUUAGUAGGAGGAGGAAAAGAAAGAAACAUCGAUUUCCUGAGUAGCGGCGAGCGAAAGGGAAAAAGCCUAAACCGGUAUUGUUACGGCAAUGCCGGGGUUGUAGGACUGCAACAUUCAAGUAACAAUGAACUGGAACGAUCUGGAAAGUUCGUCCAUAGAGGGUGAAAGGCCCGUACAGGUAAGUUCGUUAUGCGAUAGCAGUAUCCUGAGUAGGGCGGGACACGAGGAAUCCUGUCUGAAUCCGCCGGGACCACCCGGUAAGGCUAAAUACUCCCAAGAGACCGAUAGUGAACCAGUACCGUGAGGGAAAGGUGAAAAGAACCCCGAACAGGGGAGUGAAAUAGAACCUGAAACCAUACGCUUACAACCGGUCGGAGCAGCUUCGUGCUGUGACGGCGUGCCUAUUGAAUAAUGAGCCUACGAGUUACUAAUCACUGGCGAGGUUAAGUGCACGGAUGCACGGAGCCGAAGCGAAAGCGAGUCUGAACAGGGCGGCUAGUCAGUGGUUGUAGACGCGAAACCUUGCGAUCUACCCUUGAGCAGGUUGAAGGUUGGGUAAAACCAACUGGAGGACCGAACGAAUAAGCGUUGAAAAGCUUCUCGAUGACUUGAGGGUAGGGGUGAAAGGCUAAUCAAGCUGGGAAAUAGCUCGUACUCCCCGAAAUGCCUUUAGGGGCAGCGUUGUAAUUAAGAGUCUACUGGAGGUAGAGCUACUGAUUGGAUGCGGGGGCUUCACCGCCUACCAAAUCCUGACAAACUCCGAAUGCCAGUAGUAUGAUUUACAGCAGUGAGCGACCGGGUGCUAAUGUCCGGUUACGAGAGUGGAACAACACAGACCAGCAACUAAGGUCCCGAAGAGUAUACUAAGUUGAUCUAACGAUGUUUUGCUGCAGAGACAGCUAGGAUGUUAGCUUGGAAGCAGCUAUUCAUUCAAAGAGUGCGUAACAGCUCACUAGUCGAGCGGCAAAGCGUGGAUAAUAAACGGGCAUCAAGUAUACCACCGAAGUUCUGGGCACGAGAGUGCGGUAGGGGAGCAUUCCAUUGACGUUGAAGCCAUUCCGCGAGGAUAGGUGGAGUUUAUGGAAAAGCAAAUGUAGGCAUGAGUAACGAUAAUGCGGGAGAGUAACCCGCACACCGCAAGACCAAGGUUUCCUGAUCAACGCUAAUCGGAUCAGGGUUAGUCGGGUCCUAAGGGUAAGCCGAACGGUGAUCUCGAUGGACAAUCGGUUAAUAUUCCGAUACUGACAUAUGCCUCGAUGGAGAGACGAAGGAACGUAAGUGACGCCGCCUGACGGAAUAGGUGGUUAAAGGGCGUAGGUAUAGGGACAGAUUAAGAGUUAGUCCUUGCUGAAACCCGACAGUACGGAGCGGCUACGGCCAAUCUGAUAGUUCACCCAAGUCGACUUCCGAGAAAAUCUUCUAAGUUAUAGUAUAUGUUACCCGUACCGUAAACCGACACAGGUGGUCGAGGAGAGUAUCCUAAGGUGCUCGAGUGAAUCACGGUUAAGGAACUAGGCAAAUUAACCCCGUAACUUCGGGAAAAGGGGUCCCUACGCGAGUAGGGCGCAGCGAAGAGGUCCAGGCGACUGUUUAUCAAAAACACAGGGCUCUGCAAAUUCGAAAGAAGACGUAUAGGGCCUGACACCUGCCCGGUGCUGGAAGGUUAAGAGGGGAUGUCAUCGCAAGAGAAGCAUUGAAUCGAAGCCCCAGUAAACGGCGGCCGUAACUAUAACGGUCCUAAGGUAGCGAAAUUCCUUGUCGGGUAAGUUCCGACCUGCACGAAUGGUGUAACGA